This 72-nucleotide transfer RNA is filed under the name Camelus dromedarius (Arabian camel). It matches the Rfam family "tRNA". Rfam says of the family: Transfer RNA (tRNA) molecules are approximately 80 nucleotides in length. Their secondary structure includes four short double-helical elements and three loops (D, anti-codon, and T loops). Further hydrogen bonds mediate the characteristic L-shaped molecular structure. tRNAs have two regions of fundamental functional importance: the anti-codon, which is responsible for specific mRNA codon recognition, and the 3' end, to which the tRNAs corresponding amino acid is attached (by aminoacyl-tRNA synthetases). tRNAs cope with the degeneracy of the genetic code in two manners: having more than one tRNA (with a specific anti-codon) for a particular amino acid; and 'wobble' base-pairing, i.e. permitting non-standard base-pairing at the 3rd anti-codon position. RNAcentral also lists the same sequence under 1 other name. The record is from Rfam by way of RNAcentral. Lineage: Eukaryota; Metazoa; Chordata; Mammalia; Artiodactyla; Camelidae.
GAAGGUAUAGCUCAGUGGUAGAGUGUGUGCUUAGCAUGCAUGAGGUCCUGGGUUCUAUCCCCAGUACCUCCA